This is a non-coding RNA of Monodelphis domestica (gray short-tailed opossum), 350 nucleotides long. NCBI's taxonomy places the organism in Eukaryota, Metazoa, Chordata, Mammalia, Didelphimorphia, Didelphidae. The record is from RefSeq and is a predicted model, not a curated record.
GGUACCCCAAAGAAUGUCUUCCUUUUUUACAGAAUUUGGUUAAUAAGUGAAAGAGGCAAGGGUUCUUUUCCUGUGGAUGUGUCUGUCUACCUGGCAGUUUGGACGGAACAUCGGUGAGGGCAGGGGUCCAUGUGUAUGAAUCAUAGGAGCUGCCGAGGACCUCUCUGAGCUAUGAACCCGAGAAAAAUUCAAGUUAAAGUCCAUGUGGGAUGAGAGUGUAAUGCGUCAUUCUCAACAGCAGGUGGCACUCUCCCACCGCAAAUGAAUUGUCCCAGGCUGACGAUCACGUGGUCUAGUCAAGCGCUUCCCAAAGCAGAUUCAUUGAUUAAAGAGCCAGAGAGAAGAAAUAA